AAUCCUCCUCCUCCCACUCCUUUUCACUUGAGAGCAGGUUUAGGCGAGUGGAGAGUCCGGAGCGCGCCGGGGAGUCUGCGCCCUGUUUGGCGUUGGCAAACCCUGGUGUCAUCCCGGCUACCCAGGCCGGCCUGGCGUGCAGCUGCCCUGGUUGUGGCCCUGGAAUCCUCGCCGGGAGGAAGAAGGCGGCGGGCACGAGUAGGAGAGCCUCUCCAGCUACGGAGGAAGAGGGUUAAACCUGGAGAAGGGGAGACUCACCCUUGAAAAUGUUUGAGACUGUUCCUAGCAAGAAAGUGCUCAUUUUCCUUGGAGGUCCAGGUGUUGCUUGCAACAGAAACAGAGGCUUCUCGCAUUUUCUUGCACUGGCGAUGCACCUAGUCAGAGGUAGUGGAGUGAAAAAUAACUCUGGAGGGAAUAAGGACAUUCUUGGCAACCUUUCCAAAAAAGAGCUAGCCCAGACUGAGAGUAUGCAUCCUUGACUGACUAUUCAGCUCUUUAAAAAUUCUGUGUUGUUUGUCUUUUGUUGUAAUCUUGGUCGCCAGAACCAUCUAUAUACUGAUCUCUUUAAGGUACAGUUAACUUACAGUGUCUCACUUACAUGCGCUGCUGAGGUGAAGGUGUUUAAAAUCAAUAAGUGUAAGUAGUUUCCCUGGAAGAGAGAAGUAAAACGUACCAAUCACUCAGUGCUGGAAUAUUUUUAUGCUAAGCAUAAUUUCCUUCUUUAGUAGUUAGAGCAGUUUUUUAAAAAAAAUAGUUAACACGAUGCAGAAGUCAAACAGCAUGAUUCUGUUUCCGUAUUUUCCUCACUUUUUGGUAUGCUGCGGCACAUUUAGAACAUGAUCUGUCUGGAGGUUUUAUUCACAUGGUGGCCUGCCCUUCAGGGAGAACUUGCUUGCCUUCUUUCUUUGGCAGUUUGGAUUUGACCUAGCCCUGUGGUAUGUGCAAGUAGGAACAUCUACAAACGGUUAACUCUUUAAGUCUUCCUACGAUUUAUGUUCAGUUCAUUCACACACACACACACACACACACACACACACACACAAAAGCUUUGAUUGUAAUUAUGAACGUGAAUUAAAACUGUUUCAGGCCAUCAGAUUUAUGUAAAAGUUAGGCUUGUUUUGUUCAUUUUAAUAAAAGAAUAGUGACUUAAAAAUUACAGUCGUGAUAACAAAACUGUGAACAGCAGUGGCAUCUAUGUGGGUUUUUGUUUUUCUGAAGAUGUCGUAUUGACAAGCUUAUUUUGUAUCGGUUAUGCCCUUGCAUUGUUAAAAUAAUUGGACUGAUUUCUCCAGAACCAUAUUCCUUUACAGGCUCUGUAAAGACACUCUUGUCAUUCACAGACUCUGGCUGGAGCAAUGGGAAAACACUAGCAUGUGUAAUUACAUAGACUGGAAUAUUAAAUAUACUGUUUUGUGAUGAUAAACUACAAAAUUAUCGUCCCUGAGCUUUUCACCUACUGACUUAUAGGUUUGAGACAAAAAUACUAUACACUGGAACAUAAAGAACAUAUGUAUAUAUAGGCCACAAAACAUGAAAUCUGUUAUUCACUAAAUAUUGUGAAUAAAGUUAAAUUUAAUCGUGAAAAUUAUUUUGACACAUAAAAAGGGAGAAGGAUUGUGAAAAUGUGUUUUAUAUUAGUGAGUUAAGUGAUUUUAUACUAUUCAAAUUUAAGUGUAAAAAUCUACUGCAAUAAAUUAUUACAUUAGAAAUGUUUGUAUAUAUGAUUGAAAUGUAUGCUUACAUGUGCAAUGUCUUAUAGGAAUAAUAUAUGUAAGGUUCCUUGGCUAUAGUUUUUUCCAGUAUACAUUUACAAUAUUGUCUGUCUAGUGAUAUUAAAUGAGCCAAAUUUGAACACU
Molecule: long non-coding RNA, 1856 nt
Organism: Homo sapiens (human)
Lineage: Eukaryota; Metazoa; Chordata; Mammalia; Primates; Hominidae
Gene: SOX21-AS1
Product: SOX21 antisense divergent transcript 1
Source: Ensembl